Molecule: ribosomal RNA, 492 nt
Filed under: uncultured bacterium
Lineage: Bacteria
Description: partial 16S ribosomal RNA
Rfam family: Bacterial small subunit ribosomal RNA
Source: RNAcentral
AGUGAACGCUGGCGGUAGGCCUAACACAUGCAAGUCGAACGGCAGCACAGUAAGAGCUUGCUCUUACGGGUGGCGAGUGGCGGACGGGUGAGGAAUACAUCGGAAUCUACUUUUUCGUGGGGGAUAACGUAGGGAAACUUACGCUAAUACCGCAUACGACCUACGGGUGAAAGCAGGGGAUCUUCGGACCUUGCGCGAUUGAAUGAGACGAUGUCGGAUUAGCUAGUUGGCGGGGUAAAGGCCCACCAAGGCUACGAUCCGUAACUGGUCUGAGAGGAUGAUCAGCCACACAGGAGCUGAGACACGGGCCAGACUCCUACGGGGGGCAGCAGUGGGGAAUAUUGGACAAUAGGCGCAAGCCUGAUCCAGUCGUACAGGGUGAGUGAAGAAGGCCUUCCGGUUGUAAAGCCCUUUUGUUGGGAAAGAAAAGCAGCAGGUUAAUACCCCGCUGUUCUGACGUUACCCAAAGAAUAAGCACCGGCUAACUUCGUG